CGAUGAGUCUUAGGGGUUUUCUAUCAUGAAGAACUAGACAAGUAUUUUUGAAGAUGGAUCCAAGUACUGUACCAAGAAAAAUAGGUGACUCACUUUUUAAAGAUAAUUUCUAUAAUUUCUUUUGCUAUAUGAUUAUCAUGUUUUUUAUUCAUGCAUAGAAUGAAUCUUGAAGGAUAGCUUAAAUUCAGGGUUUUCGUUCUUUGCUCCAACUGAUGAUCAAUUUGGGUGAAACAUCGGGAUUUGUUUUUGUGAAUUUUUGAAGGCUUCAUCUUUUUUUCUUUUUUUUCCUUUCCUAACCGUUGUCUCCUGUUAAUAAGAAGAACUAGACAAGGAUUUUAAUUCAAGUGCUGUUCCAGAUCAACACAAAGGUAAGUUAAUAAUAAGAUAUUUAAAAAACGGGUCAGUCUAUUUUCACGAUAGUUUCUAUAAUUUCUUUAGCUAUAUGAUGAUAAAUCAAGUUUCAGUUGAUUCUGUUUUUGUGAAUUCUCUGAUGGUUUUCAUAGAAUCUCUAAAUUUUGGGAUUCAGCAAUUAUGUUCUCUCUUUUUUCUAUUACAAUAUGUUCUUUUUUCUAUACUCUUUGUUUCUAUAAUUCCCUUGUCUUUAUGAUUACAUUCUUCGAUGUUGCAUUUGGAUGAAUUUUGAAGGAUCUUUUUUGGAUUUUGUUCUUUGGAGUGAUAAUCAAUAUUGGGUUUCAUUGGAUUUUUUAUGUGAGUUUCCUCUUAGUUGAAUCUUCAAUGUAAUAUGUGCUUUUGUGUUAUGUUUUUGUUAUUCGUUUUUGACUGGAGAAAGAACUCAUUUCCACUCUCAAAUGGGGGUAGGAACGUGGUCUGAAACAACACGGCCAACCAAAUUUGAAUUUUUGCUCUUUAUGUUCGUUUUAAAGUUGUGAUGUAGAAACACAUUCUUUAUUCUAUUUGUGUUUCAUGGAUAUCAGGAAGAGGAUUUGUUGCUUGGAUUCUUCCACGUACCUCAUCUAGGUUUUUAUUGAGCCCUAGAAGAAAUUUAUAGAUUCUUUUCUUCUCCACUUUUUUCUUGUAUCUUGCUGCAUCUCCUUGAGAUUCCAAUUCAUUUCUUCUUGACACAAGUCGUGAUGGACGCCUUCGAUCUCAAAUGAUUUAGGAUUCUCGAGGCCUAAAGACAUAAUGGUUCAUUGAAUUGAUUAGCGAUAACAUCAGCAUAUUAUAUUCUGCUUCAACUCUUGAACUUUGAAUCAUUGGCUGCUGGAGUUAUGGCAGCCCUGGUGACAUAUUAUUCUCCAUUCCCUUUCCUCAGAUAAACAUUAUAAUGGAUUGGGGACCAUUGUAACUAAUUUUCCCAUUCAGUCGGCACUCUAAUUUAGGUAUCUCUGGACAGAGCAUUCUAAUUUGGGUAUCUCUGGAUAGGUUUAAUUGCAGGUUCAUUGAUUUUUGGUUAUUCAAGUUGUAUGAGCAUUCUAAAUUACCUCAAUCAUGGUUAGUUUGCACUUUGUAAUAUUGAAAGUGCAUGACAUUUCAACAAGUGAUACUAUAUACUCUUGCCCUUCGGACAAAAGGCUGAUACUUCCAGGGUAACUGUUUCUUCAUCCCACGAUGAGGCGAAUUCAUGAGUUUCCCAAAAAUGUUUCCGUUUACUUUUCAAUCAGUAUCUUUUCACAUUCUGAAAUUUGAAACAGCUUUCAGGAUCAGCAGAAGUUUUGCACUUUUGCCCAUCCCUGAUGUGGGUCAUCCAUUAGCUAAAUUCCAGCUAAAGAGAUUAAAACACAGUAUAAACUUCUUGUUAAAGGUUAGGAUUUUUCCUAUUACGAUAGUUCUUAUCUCAUAGUUCUUUUAAGAUGUUAAUUUUCAUAUUUCUAUUUCUGAAGUGACAUAAUUCGUAAAUAACGUAAAUCAAGCUGUUAAAGAGGAACAUCUGUGAUGCAUAUGAAUUGGAUUAAUCUUUUGAAAGGCAAAGGAACAUCUGUGAUGCAUUAAUGGAUAUGGACACAUUCUCAAUUGAAAAUGUUAUAUAGAAAAGCUGCAAAAAGUUCUAAGUUUUGUUAAGACACAUUCUUGAUUGAGUAGCUGUCCUUGUUUACCCACGAUUAUUAUUUUUUGCCUUUCUGCCUUCACUAUCAUUAUUUUUUAGUACAUUUAUAUACUGAAAAGACGAUGUUUUUGUUUAUUAGAGCUCAAAAACUUCAAGGAGCUUAAUGAAGUGUGCUUUUCCAAAAAAAUAAUGUCAAAAACAUUGAGGAGCUUUUGAUUUCCAUAAUUUGCAUGCUAAAAAAAUUCUGCAUUCUACGUCUCUUUUCACUGCUUCUACAUGCAACGAAAGCAGUCUGGUGCCCUUUAUGGUUGUUUUUGCUUAUAAUCAUCAUCCUUUUCCACUCCCUUUUGUUUUACUCAUCUAAGACUUUGUUUUAAAAUAGCCUCAACCAAAUCUAUGUGACAUUUCAUUUAGAUUUUGGAAUAAAAACUUGUUUUGAUACUUUAUAUGUGCCAAUAUUAACCUUCUGCAAUGUAAAAUGUGUGCAGAUUACAUCAAAAUUAAGGAAUGCAUAACAAAUAUGAAUAUAGAACUCACUGGAAUGAAUGAAGGUAUGGUGCAUAAUCUUUAAUCUUUUCACACACUACAUGAAAAAUGUUGUGGGAAAGUACACCUUUAUUUUUUUUAUUUAUUUUUAUUUAUUUAUUUUUUUUUUUGAUGAGGGGGAACCCACAGUCGCUACCCUUUCGUGGAGGAUCAUUUCAUGCUUCAACAAUUUUUUUCUACUAUACUUUACCUAUUCAAAAACUCAAUUAGAUUUCUAUAGAAAGCAUCAACACCAAACAACAUCGUUGAACUUGAAGCAACUUCUCUUUGCACCAACGCAUCUCUCUCUAGUAAGAUCAUUUUAAUUUAUUUUUAUAUUAUCUUUCUCUCAACUCAUUAAAUAAUUUCUUUCUUAAUGAAAGCAUUUAGAUUAAUUCUGAUUUGAUUUCCUAGUCCAACUUGGUAAAUCCGUGUGAUAAGAAAACAAAUAAUUAAGCAUAUCAAGUACUUUAGGACUAAUUGAGAAGAUUGAGACUUCUCGAUCUUGACUUCAUCCUGAAGAGGAUUAUUCUCAAAUGGUGUUCAAAACUUGCUUGUGCCAAGAGUUACUUUUACUCAACUUAGCUCUAGGAUUAUACUCGAUUAGGUUAAGAAUAACUAAGGCUGAACUCGGCCUUUGUGAGGGAAUAUGCUCAAACUAAGUUGAGACUCAUUUGGACUUAUAUGCGAACUAGGUUGAGACUCGCUUGAGAUUGUUUCAAGCCAUAAAUGAAAUGUUCAUAAUGAGGUUGAAAUCUGAGCAAGACUCGGAUGCCCUUAUGAUAAAUCAUAAUUAGUUAAUGUCGAAACUCAAUUGUGCUAAAAAAUAAUAAUGAUCGGUCACGAUUGAGAUUCACCUGCGUUAGACUUAAUCCUUAGCUGCCUAACUUGUUGCGUGGCAAUCAUAUCAGCAUUGUUGCCUUUAUCUUUGGUUUCUUUUCAUCAAAUAAAAAAUGAUAUUAGGCAUGGUGCAAUGUGACACUAUUCCAUCUGGAAGGGUUCUGCAUAGGGUGAGUUUAAUAUCUUUUGUAUUAUGUUUUAUCAUUAGUUUUCUACAUAGUAUUAAUUAGCAAACUAUCUUGAGAUCAACAUUGCAAAACACUUUAAAAUUUUUCUAAAGAGCUAUGGAGAUGCAUGUCAGUGGGAGAAAGAAACUUUAUAUCUCAGGGAGGUAAGUAGCAAUAUGUCACGGGCCUAGUUUCGCCACUUCCUAACUACACUAGCACCAUACGGCCUCAAUGCUUCACAGCUCCCAUCUCCCACUAGAUAGCUUUAAACUUUAACUAAUGAGGAUAAAUUAUAUGUUAACUAUGGUGGAAAACUUCCUCUCAAGUAUUUUCUCUCUGCUAAAAUAUUACUCAACCUCACUUUUAUUUAUAGACAAACCCAACAAACUCAAGGGUUCUCAUUGGUAGCCAUUGCGUGUCUCUACGCUUAUAAGUUGUCAUGUUGCAAGGCCGUAUCCCUUUCCAACCUUAUGCUAAUUGGCAUGUCCCUUUCCAUGGAAAUGGACAAUCUCUACAACUUAUUGUGCAAGUGGAUGUGUCCCUAUCAUGGACUUUGCUUCUUCCGUCAAGCUUGGCUUCCUCACUGCACAAGUUGUACAAGUUGGUAUAAACUUGGACUCGGCAUCCACUUGCAUCCAAAAUCACCAGCCAUAGUUUACAGCCUUUCAUAAUAGUGAUUUUCAAAAACAUAACUUCUGUCCCUGCGUCCUUUGCCAACGUUUUUCCCCAUCUGCUUGUUUUCUAUUUGUUCAAUUUGCCUAUGUCCUGCCUACCUAGCCCGAUUGCAAUUUUUGCUUGUGUUUUGUUUAUUUAAUCUGUCUAUGUUGCUACUUACAUUCCUGAGCUGCAGUGCCUGCCCAAUCUGCUUGAAUUUUUUUCCUUUCCACGUCUCCCUACUAUAAUGACUAUGCUGGUCCUGCCUGUGUCCCCUUCCAUAGUUCUUGUGUUUUCUCAAAUUACGAUCCCUACCACAGGUAGUUCUGCUUAGUUGUGGUGCACUAUCUGUGCUACCUAGUUUUUCCUACCUGUGCUUCCUAUAGCAAGAAGCUACUGUGCAUGCUUUGAACAUUAUCACUUUCUCUCCUUUGUGGUAGUUCCCUCGACAAAUCUGUUGGCAUCACGUCCUUAUAUUAAACAAUUGGAAUGAAUUCAUCUGAACUUCAUCCACAUCAUGGCUAUCUAUGACCUCCAGUUUUGCUCCUCGAGAUGGACGCCAAUGAUCAUAGAUUAGGACAAUCUCGCAUGAGAUGCGGCCCUAUCCAUAUUUGAAUCAACCACUAGGAGCAAAAUUACAUUUUUGUCAUCAUAAACCUUUCUCCAAUUAGUUUUUUGUUGCCAUUGGGCUCCUAAUGACUUUGGGAUUUGGUCUCCAAUUCGGCUUAUGCCACGCCCUGUCUUUACCAAAAUUUCAUUUGGUUGGUUUGAAGGUCCUUUGCUUGCGUCUUCGUACUCUUUUGGAAUUCGUCAAAGAUUCGACAAUCAUAAUUGCCUUAUCUACAUCUUUGAUGUUGCGAUGUUGUAAUUCUUGCCACACCCAUGUUGCACAACCAUCCAUGAAAUAGAAUAGCAAGACAUUUUUCGACAUGCUUGGGAUUUGAAGCAUAAAGGUUGUGAACUCUUUGAAGUAGUCAUGAAUGAUACCUUUAUGUUUCAAUUUUCUUAGCUUCUUGGGGGCCUCAAACACAACAUUCUCCAACCAUGCUAGAAGAUGAUUUAAUGUUCUAAUUUCUAGACUAAUGUACUUGUUCGGCACGACAAGAAUUAAGUCACGGAGUCAACCGUGACGCCUGAUUGUGGUUGUAUUUGAGUUUACAAGCAAAAUUUCCCAUUUCCAAGCUAUAUACUAUAGCUACCGUUGACCUCGCAAAUUGAACUCUCCAUGUGAUCAAUCGAGAGCCACUCCAUGUGUUCCUCCCUAUGCACAAUAAUGAGCGGUCGGACAUAUACGACCAAUACCAGUGAGGGUGCACACUUUGAUGGUCAAAGUCAGUAGACGGUAUGAAGUAGAGAAGAUUACCCUUAUCUCUUGUCAAGCCUUUGGUGUUUAUAGGCAAAGGGUACUACUGGAUGUAGGACACGUAAAUGCAUCUAACGAUAUGAGGUCAUUAGCAGCAUCCUAAGGGGGUAGGUAAUUAAAUCUUCUGACAUGUGAGUUGAUAUAAGGCUGCGAUGUUGCAUCAAUCAAUUCAUAUAGAUAAGGGAAUCCUGACACAGGGAUACAUCUCUGAAACUGGUGGCAGAGGGGCCUCUGCACUCCUUCACCGUGUGAUGCCUCAUCUCUUCAGAAUUCAAUGUCAAAGGAUGCCUCAGAUAGUAUCGCUUAGGUAGUACCUGUGCCUCAUAAGUACGUGGUUAGUUCGGGCGUAAACUGGUCUCCCCAAGUUCGAGUUGUGGUUGUUGUUCUAAGGCUCAAAAGCUUCACAUCUUCGACCGAGGCAACACUUCAACCACACGGGACUAUGCAUUAGGAAGGUUGAAGCUCUGUAAAGCUGAGGAGUACAUAUUCGACCGAGGGGUGUCAUCGCAAGGGACAAUGCUUUGUAAAGCUUUGACUGAGGAGUGUCACCAUAGAGAUGACACUUUGUAAAGCUUUUGCAAUGCUUCGACCGAGGUGUUGAUCCACAGGGGGACAAUGCCUAGGAGAUGACUUAACUAUGGCGUUGAUCUACAAGGGAUUACACAUCAGGAGGAUUGAAACUCUGUAAAGCUGAGUUGUGAUCCAAAAGGUGUAGCAUGGAGACUUGAAUGAUGUGUCGCGAGGAAGAUGGUUGGAUACGACGAUAGAAAAGGCUUUCGCAACUCUUCAAUUGAGGUAUUGAUCCACAUGAGACUACUCUUCAACUGAGGUGAUGACCCAUAGGGGGAUGACACCUAGGAGAUGGCCUGAAGUUUUGUAAAGCUUUCGUAAUAAUUUGACCGAGGCGAUGACCCACAUGGGACUACGCAUCAGGAGAGUUGAAGCUCUGUAAAGUUGAGGAGCUCUGUAACUCUAUGAAUAAAUCUGCCUUACAACUAAUUGGAUUAAUUUCUCACAUAAGCGUUGGAGGCCUACUAUUUGAAACAUCUUUGUAUGGCAAGAUUGGUAAUCCUAACCUGAAAUAUCCAGCAUGCAUCAAAAAGCAAUUGUACCUGCACGUGGUGUUAAAUUUUGCUCUUCACAUUGCUCAAGCCAUGGACUAUUUAAACACAAACGGGAUUAUGGAUGGAAAAUUAAAACCUGGUAUUUGAUUGGGCAAUAAGCAAUUAAAGAUUUUAUUCAUCUAUAAUAUUGUUAUAUUGUGUAGUUUCGAACAAUUUUAUUGUUUCAAUGGAGAUUAAAAUAUUUUGUUCACCAGGAUUUCAUAUUGUGUAGGUUAGUUUGAAGGGGUAUUUUAAUAACAAGUAGGUAAAUAUAUAUUUCACAGUAUGUUGUCAUUUUCUUUUUAGUUUUAUUAUCUGGGUUGUUAUGCUAUCCAUCCCCAAACGAAUAAAAAAAGAGAAAUAGAGGAAAAAAGGAUGAGUUUAAAUCAAUUUUGAAACUUAUUUAUGUUGUGCUCAAUGACAUAUAUCUAUUUCUUACUAUAGGCAAUUGAUGAAUUAAUUGAUGCUUAUAUUACCUGGCGAAGCAGAAAAAGAAUGCUAUGAAAAGCGAAGCUUUUCUACUCUAUAUGACAACUGAGAACUCCAUUGCCUGUGAGUAUUUGUAGAAAUAAUUCUUUAGUGAAGGUUUUCCUUUUGAGCCUUUGUCUUUACAUAUGUAGGAGGAAGAUCUAUUUGUAUUUUAAGUACGAGCACUAGUUGGAUAAAACUUGUAUUAUUUGUCUUUUUCUCAAUAAUAUUAUUGUUCGUAUUCCACAUGUAAAAUGAUUUCUUGUGUUUUGAAACGAUAUGACUUAAUAAGUUUCUUUGCAUGCUCAGU
This 7435-nucleotide long non-coding RNA is filed under the name Olea europaea subsp. europaea. The record is from RNAcentral. Lineage: Eukaryota; Viridiplantae; Streptophyta; Magnoliopsida; Lamiales; Oleaceae.